This 191-nucleotide small nuclear RNA is filed under the name Jaculus jaculus (lesser Egyptian jerboa). RNAcentral's name for it is "U2 spliceosomal RNA (ENSJJAG00000005098.1)". It matches the Rfam family "U2 spliceosomal RNA". From Rfam's summary of the family: U2 is a small nuclear RNA (snRNA) component of the spliceosome (involved in pre-mRNA splicing). Complementary binding between U2 snRNA (in an area lying towards the 5' end but 3' to hairpin I) and the branchpoint sequence (BPS) of the intron results the bulging out of an unpaired adenosine, on the BPS, which initiates a nucleophilic attack at the intronic 5' splice site, thus starting the first of two transesterification reactions that mediate splicing. The record is from Rfam by way of RNAcentral. Lineage: Eukaryota; Metazoa; Chordata; Mammalia; Rodentia; Dipodidae.
AUCACUUCUCAGCCUUUUGGCUAAGAUCAAGUGUAGUAUCCAUUCUUGUCAAUUUAAUAUCUUAUGUGUCCUCUAUCUGAGGACAAUAUAUUAAAUGGAUUUUUGGAGCUCAGAGUUGGAAUAGGAGCUUGCUCCGUCCACUCCACGCAUCGACCUGGUAUUGCAGUACCUCUAGGAAUGGUGCCCCCCCU